This is a non-coding RNA of Mycena epipterygia, 93 nucleotides long. The record is from the annotation of a GenBank genome assembly. NCBI's taxonomy places the organism in Eukaryota, Fungi, Basidiomycota, Agaricomycetes, Agaricales, Mycenaceae.
GGCUUGAUGGCAGAGUGGUUAUGCAUCCAUGAAUUAGUAGCAAAGAUCCAGACAUUUUCGUGGAGGACGCCCGUUCGAACCGGGCUCGAGCCA